Molecule: ribosomal RNA, 433 nt
Filed under: uncultured bacterium
Lineage: Bacteria
Description: partial 16S ribosomal RNA
Rfam family: Bacterial small subunit ribosomal RNA
Source: RNAcentral
AACGAACGCUGGCGGCAUGCCUAACACAUGCAAGUCGAACGAUCCCUUCGGGGAUAGUGGCGCACGGGUGCGUAACGCGUGGGAACCUGCCCUUAGGUUCGGAAUAACUCAGAGAAAUUUGAGCUAAUACCGGAUAAUGUCUUCGGACCAAAGAUUUAUCGCCUUUGGAUGGGCCCGCGUUGGAUUAGCUAGUUGGUGGGGUAAAGGCCUACCAAGGCGACGAUCCAUAGCUGGUCUGAGAGGAUGAUCAGCCAUACUGGGACUGAGACACGGCCCAGACUCCUACGGGAGGCAGCAGUGGGGAAUAUUGGACAAUGGGCGAAAGCCUGAUCCAGCAAUGCCGCGUGAGUGAUGAAGGCCUUAGGGUUGUAAAGCUCUUUUACCCGGGAUGAUAAUGACAGUACCGGGAGAAUAAGCCCCGGCUAACUCCGUG